CAAAGAGAGGCAAAGCCGCGAGGUGGAGCAAAUCUCAAAAAGCCGUCCCAGUUCGGAUUGCAGGCUGCAACCCGCCUGCAUGAAGUUGGAAUCGCUAGUAAUCGCGGAUCAGCAUGCCGCGGUGAAUACGUUCCCGGGCCUUGUACACACCGCCCGUCACACCAUGAGAGUCGGGAACACCCGAAGUCCGUAGCCUAACCGCAAGGGGGGCGCGGCCGAAGGUGGGUUCGAUAAUUGGGGUGAAGUCGUAACAAGGUAUC
RNAcentral lists this ribosomal RNA (260 nucleotides) under uncultured bacterium. RNAcentral's name for it is "partial 16S ribosomal RNA". It matches the Rfam family "Bacterial small subunit ribosomal RNA", at positions 1240 to 1500 of the family's 1533-position model. The record is from RNAcentral.